RNAcentral lists this ribosomal RNA (270 nucleotides) under uncultured archaeon. Its description in RNAcentral is "partial 16S ribosomal RNA". It matches the Rfam family "Archaeal small subunit ribosomal RNA", at positions 477 to 747 of the family's 1478-position model. The record is from RNAcentral.
CAGCACCUCAAGUGGUCAGGAUGAUUAUUGGGCCUAAAGCAUCCGUAGCCGGCGCUGUAAGUUUUCGGUUAAAUCUGUACGCUCAACGUACAGGCUGCCGGGAAUACUGCAGCGCUAGGGAGUGGGAGAGGUAGACGGUACUCGGUAGGAAGGGGUAAAAUCCUUUGAUCUAUUGAUGACCACCUGUGGCGAAGGCGGUCUACCAGAACACGUCCGACGGUGAGGGAUGAAAGCUGGGGGAGCAAACCGGAUUAGAGACCCGAGUAGUCA